AAAAUGCGAUACUUGGUGUGAAUUGCAGAAUCCCGUGAACCAUCGAGUUUUUGAACGCAAGUUGCGCCCGAAGCCAUCCGGCUGAGGGCACGCCUGCCUGGGCGUCACGCAUCGCGUCGCUCCCCACCAUACCUCCCCAACGGGUUGGCAUGGUGUUGGGGGCGGAUAAUGGCCUCCCGUGCUUGUGUUUCGGUUGGCCUAAAUAAGAGUUCCCUUCGGCGGACACACGACUAGUGGUGGUUGAAUAGACCCUCGUCUUUUGUUGCGUGUCGUGAGCUGUAAGGGUAGCCCUCAUCAAAGACCCCAUUGUAUCGUCUUCGGAUGAUGCUUCGACCGCGACCUCGGAUCAGGUAGGGAUACCCGCUGAACUUAAGC
Molecule: unclassified non-coding RNA, 375 nt
Filed under: plant metagenome
Description: partial contains 5.8S ribosomal RNA, internal transcribed spacer 2, and large subunit ribosomal RNA
Rfam family: 5.8S ribosomal RNA (bases 1-107)
Source: RNAcentral